This 829-nucleotide ribosomal RNA is filed under the name uncultured bacterium. Its description in RNAcentral is "bacterial SSU rRNA". It matches the Rfam family "Bacterial small subunit ribosomal RNA", at positions 8 to 808 of the family's 1533-position model. The record is from RNAcentral.
AGAGUUUGAUUCUGGCUCAGGACGAACGCUGGCGGCGUGCCUAAUACAUGCAAGUCGUACGCUUCUUUUUCCACCGGAGCUUGCUCCACCGGAAAAAGAGGAGUGGCGAACGGGUGAGUAACACGUGGGUAACCUGCCCAUCAGAAGGGGAUAACACUUGGAAACAGGUGCUAAUACCGUAUAACAAUCGAAACCGCAUGGUUUUGAUUUGAAAGGCGCUUUCGGGUGUCGCUGAUGGAUGGACCCGCGGUGCAUUAGCUAGUUGGUGAGGUAACGGCUCACCAAGGCCACGAUGCAUAGCCGACCUGAGAGGGUGAUCGGCCACAUUGGGACUGAGACACGGCCCAAACUCCUACGGGAGGCAGCAGUAGGGAAUCUUCGGCAAUGGACGAAAGUCUGACCGAGCAACGCCGCGUGAGUGAAGAAGGUUUUCGGAUCGUAAAACUCUGUUGUUAGAGAAGAAUAAGGAUGAGAGUAACUGUUCAUCCCUUGACGGUAUCUAACCAGAAAGCCACGGCUAACUACGUGCCAGCAGCCGCGGUAAUACGUAGGUGGCAAGCGUUGUCCGGAUUUAUUGGGCGUAAAGCGAGCGCAGGCGGUUUCUUAAGUCUGAUGUGAAAGCCCCCGGCUCAACCGGGGAGGGUCAUUGGAAACUGGGAGACUUGAGUGCAGAAGAGGAGAGUGGAAUUCCAUGUGUAGCGGUGAAAUGCGUAGAUAUAUGGAGGAACACCAGUGGCGAAGGCGGCUCUCUGGUCUGUAACUGACGCUGAGGCUCGAAAGCGUGGGGAGCAAAAAGGAUCAGAUACCCUGGUAGUCCACGCCGUAAACG